GACGAACGCUGGCGGCGUGCUUAACACAUGCAAGUCGAACGGAAAGGCCCUGCUUUUGUGGGGUGCUCGAGUGGCGAACGGGUGAGUAACACGUGUGUAACCUGCCCUUGACUUUGGGAUAACUUCAGGAAACUGGGGCUAAUAUCGGAUAGGAGCUCCUGCUGCAUGGUGGGGGUUGGAAAGUUGCGGCUGUUGGGGCUGGACUCGCGGCUUACCAGCUUGUUGGUGGGGUAGUGGCUUACCAAGGCUUUGACGGGUAGCCGGCCUGAGAGGGUGACCGGCGACAUUAGGACUAAGGUACGGACCAGACUGCUACGGGAGGCAGCAGGGGGGAGUAUUACACAGUGAGCGGAAGCCUGAGGCGGCAGCGCCGCGUGCGGGAUGACGGCCUUCGGGUUAUAAACCGCUUUCGCCUGUGACGAAGCGUGAGUGACGGUAAUGAGUAAAGAAGCACCGGCUAACUACGUG
RNAcentral lists this ribosomal RNA (468 nucleotides) under uncultured bacterium. RNAcentral's name for it is "partial 16S ribosomal RNA". It matches the Rfam family "Bacterial small subunit ribosomal RNA", at positions 28 to 507 of the family's 1533-position model. The record is from RNAcentral.